Molecule: ribosomal RNA, 433 nt
Filed under: uncultured bacterium
Lineage: Bacteria
Description: partial 16S ribosomal RNA
Rfam family: Bacterial small subunit ribosomal RNA
Source: RNAcentral
AACGAACGCUGGCGGCAGGCCUAACACAUGCAAGUCGAGCGGCGACUUCGUUUCUAGCGGCGGACGGGUGAGUAACGCGUGGGAAUGUUCCCUUCUCUACGGAAUAGUCCUGUGUAACUGGGGGUAAUACCGUAUACGCUCCGUUAGUGAAAGAUUCAACGGAGAAGGAUCAGCCCGCGUUGGUUUAGCUAGUUGGUGUUGGAAGGGCCUAUCAAGGCUUGGAUCCAUAGCGGGUUUGAGAGCAUGAGCCGCCACACUGAGACUGAGACACGGUCCAGAAUCUUAGGGGAGGCAGGAGUGGCGAAUCCUAGACAAUCGCGGCAAUGAUGAUCGAGCCAGGCCGGGAGAGUGAUGAAGGCCGUAGGGAAGUACAGCUCUUUCAGACGGCACGAUAAUGACGGUACCAGCAGAAGAAGCACCGGCUAACUCCGUG